GAUGAACGCUGGCGGCGUGCCUAAUACAUGCCAGUCGAGCGAACGGACGAGAAGCUUGCUUUUCUGAUGUUAGCGGCGGACGGGUGAGUAACACGUGGAUAACCUACCUAUAAGACUGGGAUAACUUCGGGAAACCGGAGCUAAUACCGGAUAAUAUUUUGAACCGCAUGGUUCAAAAGUGAAAGACGGUCUUGCUGUCACUUAUAGAUGGAUCCGCGCUGCAUUAGCUAGUUGGUAAGGUAACGGCUUACCAAGGCAACGAUGCAUAGCCGACCUGAGAGGGUGAUCGGCCACACUGGAACUGAGACACGGUCCAGACUCCUACGGGAGGCAGCAGUAGGGAAUCUUCCGCAAUGGGCGAAAGCCUGACGGAGCAACGCCGCGUGAGUGAUGAAGGUCUUCUGAUCGUAAAACUCUGUUAUUAGGGAAGAACAUAUGUGUAAGUAACUGUGCACAUCUUGACGGUACCUAAUCAGAAAGCCACGGCUAACUACGUG
This 497-nucleotide ribosomal RNA is filed under the name uncultured bacterium. RNAcentral describes it as "partial 16S ribosomal RNA". It matches the Rfam family "Bacterial small subunit ribosomal RNA", at positions 28 to 507 of the family's 1533-position model. The record is from RNAcentral.